RNAcentral lists this ribosomal RNA (743 nucleotides) under uncultured bacterium. Its description in RNAcentral is "bacterial SSU rRNA". It matches the Rfam family "Bacterial small subunit ribosomal RNA", at positions 94 to 823 of the family's 1533-position model. The record is from RNAcentral.
AGCGGCGGAUGGGUGAGUAACACGUGGGGAACCUGCCCCUAAGUCUGGGAUACCAUUUGGAAACAGGUGCUAAUACCGGAUAAUAAAGCAGAUCGCAUGAUCAGCUUUUGAAAGGCGGCGUAAGCUGUCGCUAAGGGAUGGCCCCGCGGUGCAUUAGCUAGUUGGUAAGGUAACGGCUUACCAAGGCGACGAUGCAUAGCCGAGUUGAGAGACUGAUCGGCCACAUUGGGACUGAGACACGGCCCAAACUCCUACGGGAGGCAGCAGUAGGGAAUCUUCCACAAUGGACGCAAGUCUGAUGGAGCAACGCCGCGUGAGUGAAGAAGGUUUUCGGAUCGUAAAGCUCUGUUGUUGGUGAAGAAGGAUAGAGGUAGUAACUGGCCUUUAUUUGACGGUAAUCAGCCAGAAAGUCACGGCUAACUACGUGCCAGCAGCCGCGGUAAUACGUAGGUGGCAAGCGUUGUCCGGAUUUAUUGGGCGUAAAGCGAGCGCAGGCGGAAAAAUAAGUCUAAUGUGAAAGCCCUCGGCUUAACCGAGGAACUGCAUCGGAAACUGUUUUUCUUGAGUGCAGAAGAGGAGAGUGGAACUCCAUGUGUAGCGGUGGAAUGCGUAGAUAUAUGGAAGAACACCAGUGGCGAAGGCGGCUCUCUGGUCUGCAACUGACGCCGAGGCUCGAAAGCAUGGGUAGCGAACAGGAUUAGAUACCCUGGUAGUCCAUGCCGUAAACGAUGAGUGCUAAGUGU